UAUAGCCGCAGUAUUUUGACUGUGCUAAGGUAGCAUAAUAAUUUGUCUUUUAAUUGGAGGCUGGAAUGAAAGAGUUGACGAUGCUUUUGCUUUCUUAGCUUAGCGGUGGAAUUUGAUAUUUGCCUUAAAAAGUGCAACUUUCUGGGGGGACGAUAAGACCCUAUGAAACUUUAAUUUAUUUUAUUUAGGAGUAUUUGGAAGAUUUAAGAGUUUGUUAAAUUAAGCUGGGGCGGCAGCCAAGAUUCAUUUGCAGACAUAACAAAUCUAUUGAAUUUAGAGAUCUCACCGAGAAGUGGAACAAGUUACUUUAGGGAUAACAGCACAAUUUUUUUGUAUAGAUCGUAUAGAAUAAAAAGACUUGUGACCUCGAUGUUGAAUUGGGGGGCCCCAUUAAAGUAGAAAUUAGUGCGGGGGGUCUGUUCGACCUUUAUUUCCCCACGUG
RNAcentral lists this ribosomal RNA (442 nucleotides) under Chelator sp. C SB-2021a. RNAcentral describes it as "partial 16S ribosomal RNA". It matches the Rfam family "Bacterial large subunit ribosomal RNA", at positions 1926 to 2602 of the family's 2925-position model. Lineage: Eukaryota; Metazoa; Arthropoda; Malacostraca; Isopoda; Desmosomatidae. The record is from RNAcentral.